GCGAGGUGAUCGCGACCGGGACACGCCCAGGCCCUCGGGCUGGUGGAACGGACCGGUUGAGGAAAGUCCGGGCUCCCCAAUGGCCAGGCUUGCUGGGUAACGCCCAGUGCGGGUGACCGUGAGGAGAGUGCCACAGAAACACACCGCCGAUGGCCCUUCGGGGAUCAGGCAAGGGUGCAAAGGUGCGGUAAGAGCGCACCAGCAGCAUCGAGAGGUGCUGGCUCGGUAAACCCCGGCUGGGAGCAAGGCCUAGGAACAACGGUUGGCCAUGACACCCGUUCCGCUUUUCUUGCGCCGCUUGAGGCCAUCGGUAACGGUGGUCCCAGACAGAUGAUCGCCCCCGCGAAAGCGGAGAACAGAACCCGGCUUACGUCCUGCUU
RNAcentral lists this RNase P RNA (380 nucleotides) under marine eukaryotic metagenome. RNAcentral's name for it is "Bacterial RNase P class A". It matches the Rfam family "Bacterial RNase P class A". Rfam says of the family: Ribonuclease P (RNase P) is a ubiquitous endoribonuclease, found in archaea, bacteria and eukarya as well as chloroplasts and mitochondria. Its best characterised activity is the generation of mature 5'-ends of tRNAs by cleaving the 5'-leader elements of precursor-tRNAs. The record is from RNAcentral.